RNAcentral lists this ribosomal RNA (473 nucleotides) under uncultured bacterium. RNAcentral's name for it is "bacterial SSU rRNA". It matches the Rfam family "Bacterial small subunit ribosomal RNA", at positions 355 to 825 of the family's 1533-position model. The record is from RNAcentral.
UGGGGAAUUGUUCGCAAUGGGCGAAAGCCUGACGACGCAAUGCCGCGUGGAGGAUGAAGAAUUUCGGUUCGUAAACUCCUUUCGACCGAGAUGAAUGUCCGCCGACCUAACACGUCGGCGGAGUGACAGUAUCGAGGGAAGAAGCCCCGGCUAACUCCGUGCCAGCAGCCGCGGUAAAACGUAGGAGACAAACGUUAUCCGGAGUUACUGGGCGUAAAGGGCGUGCAGGCGGUUUGGUAAGUCUGGCGUGAAAUCAUUCGGCUUAACCGGGUGAUGUCGUCGGAGACUGCCAGACUAGAGGGUGAUAGAGGCGUGUGGAAUUCCGGGUGUAGUGGUGAAAUGCGUAGAGAUCCGGAGGAACACCAGUGGCGAAGGCGACACGCUGGGUCACACCUGACGCUAAGACGCGACAGCAUGGGGAGCGAACGGGAUUAGAUACCCAAGUAGUCCCUGAGCGGGCUGGCAAGGCGCAU